This is a long non-coding RNA of Cydia pomonella (codling moth), 1647 nucleotides long. RefSeq lists it as uncharacterized. The transcript has 3 exons. The record is from RefSeq and is a predicted model, not a curated record. Lineage: Eukaryota; Metazoa; Arthropoda; Insecta; Lepidoptera; Tortricidae.
CAUGUCACAGCACACCCGGUUCGCCAACCGGGAAUUUGACGGGCCUCUAAGGACCCCAGAGGUACGAGGCGCAAUGGGAGGCCCUUGCACAGGCCUUAAGGGAGCACGGGCCCAAUAAGUCAGUGCAGGCAUGGAAAGUGGAUAUCCUGAACGAACUGAAAAUUUUUAAUGAGGCGCAGAAACAAAAAUGGAGUGUUUUGAAGGAGGGGCACGACUUGUUGGCGAAUCGGUUCAUCCUCUGACCUUUCCAAGGAGCAAGAUCUUAUUUUCGUGUAUGAGAGCCUUUGGAAUACAAUAUUAUUAACGCCCGAAUGAGUGCUACCGCGUUUAAUUUCGCCACUAGGGGUGCUAGUGUAGACGGAGGUCUUUCGAAAUGUCAAAUGCAUAGCUUUUUUAUCGUGAAUUUCUACUCCUCAUUCAUAAUUGUGGUAAAUCUUAUUUCAUCUUUGAUUAGUUAGUCACCAAACAAAAGUAACUCAAAUAGCCGUGUCCACACAGAGCGAGCAUACGCGCCAGGCAACUUCCUCACGCACAAAACGGCCAGUGUAGACGUGCCUCGGACGAGGCGGAGCGCGCGUUUUCCUCGCCCUAGUGCGCCGCCUCGGCCGAGGCACGUCUACACUGGCUGGGAUUACCAUCGAAUCGUCUAAUGUCGGUUUUGUUCCUUUGGGUUUGUUGUACCUAGUGACAUGUUUUUUAAACGAUUGCAACGCCAUCUGCGAGUUGCUCGAGAGACUCAACUUACACACAUAUAUGGAUGUGGCUUCAAAAGUAAUCACCGUUAAUAUCUCGUACCUUGAAUAAAGGACCCACUUCUUAAUUAUUAUUAUAAAUUAUAUUUUGGUAUUGUUCCAGUAUUAACACAUUGGAGGACACCGAGAUUAUUGAGAACUUGGAAGACACAGUUAUAAUGGAAGAGGAAGACGUCUGAGCUAAGCGCUGUCCUCGCACCCUCCGUCUAGUUUACGUUUGCGGCCAUAUCAAAAAUACACACCGUAUGUUUAUUAGGGUUCCGUACCAAAAAGGUACAAAAGGAACCCUUAUGGUGCUAUUGCUAAAUAUCUCGAGAAGUACUUAAGCUAUCGAUGUGAAAUUUGGAAUAGUAAUGAAUAACGCUGACCCAAACAUAUUGGAUGUGUAUUUAUUUUAUUUUAUUUGUAAGUAUUAAUAAUGGAAAAUUCCCAAUAUGAAGAGGGGGUAAAAUUGCAAAGUCUAGUUAAAUAGGUCAAGUGGGGUAUCAUUUGAAAGAGCUCAAAUUGAAAAUUACAAAACAAUUUUUUAUUUUCAUUGUGAAAAAAAAAUUUACGUAUGAAGGAAAAUGUGAAAAUAAUACCAUCCCCCCCCCCUCUCUCAUCUCCGAAGUUUAAGAAUAAAAAUUGUUUUUUUUACAUUGGUCAAGUCUUUCAUGAGAAAAUUUGAAGUUUGUACGGAACCCUCGGUGUGCGAGGUAAACGAACUCGCACUUGACCGGUUAUUCUUAUUGCCCAUAAGGCCCGUCCUUAGAUAUAUGUCAAUGAUUACGGUGAUCUCGAAAAUGGCUCAAAUGAUUUCAAUUAAAUUUGCUAUAUGGGGGUUUUCGGGGCGUUUUUGAGUUUUUACCUAUUUGUUUUCCGAGCAAAAGGAAUUAAAGUUUACUGAUUUUGAAAA